Molecule: ribosomal RNA, 390 nt
Filed under: Triticum aestivum (bread wheat)
Lineage: Eukaryota; Viridiplantae; Streptophyta; Magnoliopsida; Poales; Poaceae
Description: partial small subunit ribosomal RNA
Source: RNAcentral
AUGGGCGUGCGCUCAAAGGAUACAAACAGGGAUUCGCAAACAAAAAGGGGAAUUCGUAGUCACUUUUUCCUGUCGCGUAAAAAAAAGUCUUUACGCGAGAGCAAUAGAGGUUGGGAUACAUCUAUCUCUUCUGAGCAACCUCUUUUGGAUCUCCGUCCUCCAACUACUACAACUAGUAAUGAAUUUAUAGAGAAUCACAAGUCGACACGCAGGCCGUUAUACAAUAAAAUGACAGCACUUUGGCUCCUGCUAGCUGACAAUCAUGACAUGCAGGUCAUGUUAAAUUACACACAUGCAUCAUAUACAUAUGAGCCAUAUUAUUCACAUCAAACCUACAAAACAAACAUAUGCAUAGAAUCGCAUUCUACCGGUUUGUAUGAUCGUGUAUGA